This 75-nucleotide transfer RNA is filed under the name Rhizobium phage RHph_I1_18. RNAcentral's name for it is "tRNA-Ile". It matches the Rfam family "tRNA". From Rfam's summary of the family: Transfer RNA (tRNA) molecules are approximately 80 nucleotides in length. Their secondary structure includes four short double-helical elements and three loops (D, anti-codon, and T loops). Lineage: Duplodnaviria; Heunggongvirae; Uroviricota; Caudoviricetes. The record is from RNAcentral.
GCGGGAAUAGCUCAGUGGUAGAGCAACGAACCGAUAAUUCGUAGGUCGGAAGUUCGAGCCUUCCUUUCCGUACCA